RNAcentral lists this ribosomal RNA (253 nucleotides) under uncultured bacterium. RNAcentral's name for it is "partial 16S ribosomal RNA". It matches the Rfam family "Bacterial small subunit ribosomal RNA", at positions 524 to 776 of the family's 1533-position model. The record is from RNAcentral.
UACGUAUGGUGCAAGCGUUAUCCGGAUUUACUGGGCGUAAAGGGAGCGCAGGCGGCGCGCCAAGUCUGAUGUGAAACCCCGGGGCUCAACCCCGGGCAUGCAUUGGAAACUGGCGGGCUGGAGUGCCGGAGAGGUAAGCGGAAUUCCUAGUGUAGCGGUGAAAUGCGUAGAUAUUAGGAGGAACACCAGUGGCGAAGGCGGCUUACUGGACGGCAACUGACGCUGAGGCUCGAGAGCGUGGGGAGCAAACAGG